Molecule: ribosomal RNA, 282 nt
Filed under: uncultured soil bacterium
Lineage: Bacteria
Description: partial 16S ribosomal RNA
Rfam family: Bacterial small subunit ribosomal RNA
Source: RNAcentral
AGAUUGAACGCUGGCGGCAUGCCUUACACAUGCAAGUCGAACGGCAACACGGGAGCAAUCCUGGUGGCGAGUGGCGAACGGGUGAGUAAUAUAUCGGAACGUGCCCAGUCGUGGGGGAUAACGCAGCGAAAGCUGUGCUAAUACCGCAUACGAUCUAUGGAUGAAAGCGGGGGAUCGCAAGACCUCGCGCGAUUGGAGCGGCCGAUAUCAGAUUAGCUAGUUGGUAGGGGUAAAGCCUACCAAGGCGACGAUCUGUAGCUGGUCUGGAGAGGACGACCAGCC